This 1596-nucleotide ribosomal RNA is filed under the name Triticum aestivum (bread wheat). Its description in RNAcentral is "partial small subunit ribosomal RNA". The record is from RNAcentral. Lineage: Eukaryota; Viridiplantae; Streptophyta; Magnoliopsida; Poales; Poaceae.
AUGGAGGGGGGUGGCCUUCUUCUUCUCUGCGGCCUCCUCGGUGAGGGCCGACGGUGCAGCCGUCGGUUUCCAAGCUCUUUUGCCGUCAGUGGGAGCUGCGGGAGGGAGGCCGACCGUCGCCAGAGAGGCAGUGGCCACUCCGACGGCCCCGGCGGCGGCGUGGGGUGGUUUUUCGGCGGUGACAAGCCGACGACGGUGGUCGGUGGGGUGCUGGAAGUGUCUUGGCUACCCAAUCCGGUGAUGGAGGCGGUCAUUGGUGGCGACGGCGGCGCGUGGGCCAGCGACGGCAGGAAGGAUGCAGCCGCGCGGGCGCUGGGUAUAUUUAGCCGGGAGGGAGGGGGUGGGGGCGGAUUUCGGCGGGGGAGUGAAAAGUUUGAAUUUAGAGAACCAGUUAGGCAAACGACCGUCACAACUCACAAACGGCGUGUGCCACCCUUUCGCUCCGGAGUCCGGCUACAAAGGCCCCUCCCCAACCCCAAUCUGGGAUUCUGGGGAGACCUCAAGCCAUUAGCACAUCCCGUUCACGACCAUGGCUCUCUACCGCCUACCCCUCUUCCUCCUCAUCCUCAUAGCCAUCGUACCCCUGUUCACCGCCUCCGCUUCCCACAGCCAGCUCUCGCCGGAGCACGCCGCCGCGCGCCGCCGCCACCACACUUCCCCCGCCACCGCCUGCGCGGCCACCGUCCAAUUCCACCCCGCCACCAGCGCCACCUCCUCCAUGCCCCAAAACCACCUCGGGAUGGAGCACAGCCCGUCACCACUCGAAGCCACGGCGGGGAACCCCCAUGCACUGCCCGUGCCGCCCCAAGCAGCCACGCCGCCGCCUCCACCCCAGGCACCGGCACUGCUGCUGCAGGAGGACUCGGACUCGGAGGGGUCGUCAUCUGCUUCGGCCUCUCCAUCCGCGGCCGCGUCCACGACAACGACGACGCUUCUACCGCUCCUCAAUCAGCGCGCCGCGGCGGCAUCAGCAAGCUCUGCGUCUCCUGUCCAAGCCGGCGUCGCGAGGGUGGUAGGCUGGGGCAGCGAAGAGGGGCUGCUGCGCUGGCGAGGGUGCUUACGGCGCUGGGGUACGACGAGAUGGCAUCGGCGGCGACGCACCACCCCAACUUACCGCCGCUCGCGAGGUGGCACGGGCCGAUCACCGUCUUCGCGCCUCCCGACAUCUCCCUCCAGACCUCGUGCUCCAUGUGCUCGCGCCGCCGCCUCCUCCUGGACCACAUCGCCUUGGGCUACUACCCGUACUCCGAGCUCACCGCCGCCCCCACCAUCAAGAUUCCAUCGGCCUCCGUCAACCUCUGCCUCAACAUCGACACCGUGAGCGCCACCUUCUCCGUCCACCACGCCAGGCUCUUCGUCGAAGGCGUCGAGAUUUCCCACCCUGAGGUCUACAACGACGGCCGCUACAUCGUCCAUGGCCUCCGCACCUUCCUGCAACCGCUCUCACGCUACUCCUGCUUCGACCGCUCGCACUCGUACCACUGCCACGGCGACAGCAUGCCAACCCGGUCGGACGCGACCUCCGUCUCCAUGUCCGCGAUGCGUGUGAGCAUCAGGAUCCGCGAGGCCAUCGCCCGUCUCCGCGAUGCACGUUAG